This 465-nucleotide ribosomal RNA is filed under the name Vreelandella stevensii. RNAcentral describes it as "partial 16S ribosomal RNA". It matches the Rfam family "Bacterial small subunit ribosomal RNA", at positions 338 to 795 of the family's 1533-position model. Lineage: Bacteria; Pseudomonadati; Pseudomonadota; Gammaproteobacteria; Oceanospirillales; Halomonadaceae. The record is from RNAcentral.
CCUACGGGAGGCUGCAGUGGGGAAUAUUGGACAAUGGGGGGAACCCUGAUCCAGCCAUGCCGCGUGUGUGAAGAAGGCCCUCGGGUUGUAAAGCACUUUCAGUGAGGAAGAACGCCUGGUGGUUAAUACCCAUCAGGAAAGACAUCACUCACAGAAGAAGCACCGGCUAACUCCGUGCCAGCAGCCGCGGUAAUACGGAGGGUGCGAGCGUUAAUCGGAAUUACUGGGCGUAAAGCGCGCGUAGGUGGCUUGAUAAGCCGGUUGUGAAAGCCCCGGGCUCAACCUGGGAACGGCAUCCGGAACUGUCAAGCUAGAGUGCAGGAGAGGAAGGUAGAAUUCCCGGUGUAGCGGUGAAAUGCGUAGAGAUCGGGAGGGAUACCAGUGGCGAAGGCGGCCUUCUGGACUGACACUGACACUGAGGUGCGAAAGCGUGGGUAGCAAACAGGAUUAGAUACCCCUGUAGUC